Oryctolagus cuniculus (rabbit) is the source of this 159-nucleotide small nuclear RNA. Its record names the gene U1. It matches the Rfam family "U1 spliceosomal RNA". Rfam says of the family: U1 is a small nuclear RNA (snRNA) component of the spliceosome (involved in pre-mRNA splicing). Its 5' end forms complementary base pairs with the 5' splice junction, thus defining the 5' donor site of an intron. The record is from Ensembl. Lineage: Eukaryota; Metazoa; Chordata; Mammalia; Lagomorpha; Leporidae.
AAAUUUGCAGCUAUAAACUUACCAUGAUCAUGAAGCUAGUUUUCCAGGGUGAGGCUCAUCCUUUGCACUCAAGAUGUGUUGACCCCUGCAAUUUCCCCAAUGUGGGAAACUUGACUGCAUAUUUGUGGUAGUGGGGUACUGUGUUCGCCCUCUCCUCUG